AUUGAACGCUGGCGGCAUGCCUUACACAUGCAAGUCGAACGGUAACAGGUUAAGCUGACGAGUGGCGAACGGGUGAGUAAUGUAUCGGAACGUGCCCAGUCGUGGGGGAUAACUGCUCGAAAGAGCAGCUAAUACCGCAUACGACCUGAGGGUGAAAGCGGGGGAUCGCAAGACCUCGCGCGAUUGGAGCGGCCGAUAUCAGAUUAGGUAGUUGGUGAGGUAAAGGCUCACCAAGCCGACGAUCUGUAGCUGGUCUGAGAGGACGACCAGCCACACUGGGACUGAGACACGGCCCAGACUCCGACGGGAGGCAGCAGUGGGGAAUUUUGGACAAUGGGCGCAAGCCUGAUCCAGCCAUGCCGCGUGCGGGAAGAAGGCCUUCGGGUUGUAAACCGCUUUUGUCAGGGAAGAAAAGGUUCUGGCUAAUACCUGGGACUCAUGACGGUACCUGAAGAAUAAGCACCGGCUAACUACGUG
RNAcentral lists this ribosomal RNA (477 nucleotides) under uncultured bacterium. Its description in RNAcentral is "partial 16S ribosomal RNA". It matches the Rfam family "Bacterial small subunit ribosomal RNA", at positions 30 to 507 of the family's 1533-position model. The record is from RNAcentral.